UGGAGAGGUGGCAUCAGUUCUAGAAUUAGAAUCUGCAGCAGGCUGCUUGUCAUGGUCAGGUCUCCUGGAGCUGCCAUUAUAACCCACUUGUGUCCCUGGGCAACUUCUGAGCAGAUGAGUGGACCUGGCGCGGGUAGGGAAGGCAGCCACGGACCCCACUUUCCCCGGACCUGGAAUUAGACCCUGGAUUGAUACUUGUCUUCCACCCCAGAGACUGUUAUUCCUUGUAGGGAUGUGAUCAGCUUCAAUAUGGUCUCCUAUCAAUUUUGUCACCAAAUGGCUGGAAAGUGUUCAUCGGUUG
Molecule: long non-coding RNA, 301 nt
Filed under: Cavia porcellus (domestic guinea pig)
Lineage: Eukaryota; Metazoa; Chordata; Mammalia; Rodentia; Caviidae
Description: lncRNA (ENSCPOG00000030640.1)
Source: RNAcentral